RNAcentral lists this long non-coding RNA (898 nucleotides) under Mus spretus (western wild mouse). RNAcentral describes it as "lncRNA (ENSMSPG00010040944.1)". Lineage: Eukaryota; Metazoa; Chordata; Mammalia; Rodentia; Muridae. The record is from RNAcentral.
CACAAUUUUCUCCGUAGUAUUUUGAGACAUCAUCAUCUUUUCAAAUAAAAGCAAAAGAUUUUCUUUCUCCCCCUGCAGCCUGGAAACCGUCCUUGCUACAAGUGACACAACGCAAUAACCCAGUUCUCUCUGGGCAGAGACAAGACAUGGACAUAGUGAUAGCCAUGCUUAUUUCUGUAUGUGCAUUACAAAUCAUGAGUGCACACCAGUACCCAGUAUCCCCAGGUCCAGGCCAGCAUGACAAGGUACUUUGAAAGGUCUGUAUUCCGCCACAGGUGUAUUCCACUAAAGCAGGACAGAUUCCACACCAUGUGUGCAUGCUCUGCUCUUCUGGGUCUGUUUGCUGCCUCUCCGACUGCUCUGGUAUCUUCAAUGAGAUCUUAAAACUAUAUGGAAGAUUGAGCUGUGACACCAAUGACCUCAGCGAGCAUGGCCGCCGUGAUGGUGGUCCUAUGGGGAACAUUUGCCAACAACUGAGUGACUCAGGCCUGGCUGCAGAGCCAAGGUCCUCCAAUAGACAUGUGGGCUGGAUGCCAGAGGAGACUUCGCUUAGGGACAUGGCACAUUUCUCAUGGAAUGGAGAGCUGAUUUCAACCAGCCACCUCAGCCCUGCUAACUGCUGACUUCUGACUUUCUCUAAAUGAGAAACGUGAAGGCGUGUUUGUAUGUUUUAGACAGGAGGGACAGUUGUGAGCAUUUUUUCCGUGGCUAACUUGCAACUCAGUCCUUCCUUUGCUUUGGGUUGCUUCAUAUCGAAUGAUGGCUUGAAUGUGCUGGAGCCUUACCUAGGUUAGCGUACAUUUAUUCACACAUAAUGAAAAAGAUCAACGUGAAGGAAAUGAAGGGACACAGUAUGGUCAUUAUACCUUUCAUAAUAAACACUGUGCGGCCAGCGUCU